AAAUGGCCAUCUGGUUGCUAAUUCUGGAAAUAUGCUUAGGCUACCGAGUUUUUUGUUUUUAAGUUGCUAUGGUUACGAGGAAGCACUGACAAUGACAAAUGAUGAAAAACUACACCUGUUAAAUGAGGGCCAAAUGUUCCUGCAGGAUUUAUUUUUGUGAAUGAAAAAUAAAGGUCACCUUCAUCUUUUGGAUUAAAGUAAACUCUGAUAAUGGAGACAACACAAUCCUUCAAAAUGCUGGUAAUCAGCUACAAGACUACGUGCUGUCACAAUGCAGAAAGUCAUAAAUGUCAUCUUCACCACCAUGAGAACCUCAACACUACAGUAAUAUUACAGGUUUCUCAGCAUCUUGGAGUGGUUAUAGCAGACAGAAAUGAUUAAUCAUGAAACAAAUUAUCUGAACUUCAAGACCACUGUUUUAUGUUGAACCUGUAUCUUAUUCCAGUGAGAAAGGUGUCUGCUGCUUAAAUGACUUGCUCAUAUUGCAUGUAAAGUUUUUUUAUUCUGGAUUCUUUACUUUAUAAAUGAGCAGGCUAUGUGAAUUUUCAAAACACUGAACUAUGAAUAUGAACAUCAGAGGCAUAUUAUUAUAUAUUAAUUUUGUAUUUGUUUUUAUAAUGUAAUGUGAAUCCUGUUGGCACUAGAGUAAAUACAGAUCAUAAAAAUGCUCAUAUAUUAUAAUUACAAUACUUUUCCAUCACACAUGCAGAUAACAAUAAGCUCAUGUCUGGUAUAGGAAGUGGGAUAUUGAAAGUAUGAUGAGAAAGAAUCUGGAAGAAAAGACCCAAGACACGUUCAUAUAUUUUAUUAUGUGCGUAACUUAAUUCAUAUUUCUGUACGUUAAAUAUUAAUAUAAUAGACAGGUUGUAUCAAUCCAUUCAUCAAAAUGUUUAAUCUCUGGAAUUACUGAAGAGAUUUAAAUAAUCUGAUACUGGGAUCUACUAAAAAGUUGUCAGACAAAUUUAAUAUUGGUCUGAAUCAAUCCAUUAAUAAUACAUCUGCUCUUCGCUUAUGGAAUUGUGUUGAUGGUUAUAAUCAAAAUAACAAGUAGAGGGAGGGAAAUGCAGAAUCUCAGAGCUUAGAACGAAGGAUAUAGAUAUAUGUUUUAUAAGAAGGUACACGUGUAGGUUUUAAAUCAGGCCUGUUAAGAAAUAUUUAUGCUCCUAUGAAUACAAAAUGUUGAAUUUGAAGGAAAAAAAAAUAUUAUAGAACUGUAAGGCCAAAGGACCAAAUUAGUACACCCACUUCUUCUAUCAUUCAAUGGUUAACACUGUCUGCAGACUUUCAUAAGCUUUGCCAUAGCCUUCAUCAGUAUGUGUUUUCAAGAGUAUAAAAUUACUGUAUGAUUAUUUUUUUCACAAUAAAUAAAUAAAUUAUGUAGUAAAUCCCUUCCUUUAAA
Molecule: long non-coding RNA, 1399 nt
Organism: Zootermopsis nevadensis
Lineage: Eukaryota; Metazoa; Arthropoda; Insecta; Blattodea; Termopsidae
Source: RefSeq, a predicted model, not a curated record